RNAcentral lists this ribosomal RNA (253 nucleotides) under uncultured bacterium. Its description in RNAcentral is "partial 16S ribosomal RNA". It matches the Rfam family "Bacterial small subunit ribosomal RNA", at positions 524 to 776 of the family's 1533-position model. The record is from RNAcentral.
UACGUAGGGGGCAAGCGUUGUCCGGAAUCAUUGGGCGUAAAGCGCGUGUAGGCGGCCUGGUAAGUCUGGCGUGAAAUCUUGGGGCUCAACCCCAAGCGGGCACUGGAUACUUCCAGGCUUGAGUCCGGAAGAGGAGAGUGGAAUUCCUGGUGUAGCGGUGGAAUGCGCAGAUAUCAGGAGGAACACCAAUGGCGAAGGCAGCUCUCUGGUACGUGACUGACGCUGAGACGCGAAAGCGUGGGUAGCAAACAGG